UGGGGAAUCUUGCGCAAUGGGAGCAAUCCUGACGCAGCGACGCCGCGUGGGGGAGGAAGGGCUUCGGCUCGUAAACCCCUGUUGCCCGGGGCGAACCUCUGGUUUCGACCAGACUGACGGUACCGGGUGAGGAAGCACCGGCUAACUCCGUGCCAGCAGCCGCGGUAAUACAGAGGGUGCGAGCGUUGUCCGGAAUCACUGGGCGUAAAGGGCGCGUAGGUGGUGGCUUAAGCGUGCGGUGAAAGCUCGGAGCUCAACUCCGAGUCGGCCGUGCGAACUGGGCUCACUGGAGCAUAGUAGAGGCAGGUGGAAUUCCGGGUGUAGCGGUGGAAUGCGUAGAGAUCCGGAAGAACACCGGUGGCGAAGGCGGCCUGCUGGGCUAUGGCUGACACUGAGGCGCGACAGCGUGGGGAGCAAAC
This 419-nucleotide ribosomal RNA is filed under the name uncultured bacterium. RNAcentral describes it as "bacterial SSU rRNA". It matches the Rfam family "Bacterial small subunit ribosomal RNA", at positions 355 to 773 of the family's 1533-position model. The record is from RNAcentral.